Molecule: small RNA, 633 nt
Filed under: Microbacterium sp. R13
Lineage: Bacteria; Bacillati; Actinomycetota; Actinomycetes; Micrococcales; Microbacteriaceae
Description: bacterial LSU rRNA
Rfam family: Bacterial large subunit ribosomal RNA (bases 316-633)
Source: RNAcentral
AUCUGAUCUCUGGUCGAGUACGCAACUUCGGUUGUUGGAAAGAGUGGGGUGAGGGGGUCGGUGCCUGCACGCUGUUGGGUCCUGAGGGACCGGAUGCGGACCUUUGGGUUCGUGACCGUACCUCUGGGCCUCUUGUUGUUUGUCCGGUUGGGCAAGCGGUGAGGGGUACCGCCCGUACUUUGAGAACUACACAGUGGACGCGAGCAUCUUGCAGCCGGUCUUCGGACUGGUUGCACAAGAUGAUCUUAAAGAUCAUUAGUCAAUUUCUGAUCCGGUCUUCGGGCCGGGUCGAGUUUUUGAUUCAAACUCAUGUGAUUUCAAGUCUUUAAGAGCAAACGGUGGAUGCCUUGGCAUCUGGAGCCGAAGAAGGACGUAGCAAUCUGCGAUAAGCCUCGGGGAACUGAUAAGCAAGUUUUGAUCCGAGGGUGUCCGAAUGGGGAAACCCCGCUGGGCGGCGUGCCGACCUAGUGACUCCCGCCUGAAUAUAUAGGGCGGGUAGAGGGAACGUGGGGAAGUGAAACAUCUCAGUACCCACAGGAAGAGAAAGCAACCGCGAUUCCGUUAGUAGUGGCGAGCGAAACCGGAUCAGGCUAAACCUAGCGUGUGUGAUAGCCGGCAGGCGUUGCACGUUGG